This 315-nucleotide ribosomal RNA is filed under the name uncultured bacterium. RNAcentral describes it as "bacterial SSU rRNA". It matches the Rfam family "Bacterial small subunit ribosomal RNA", at positions 29 to 371 of the family's 1533-position model. The record is from RNAcentral.
AACGAACGCUGGCGGCAUGCCUAACACAUGCAAGUCGAACGAGACCUUCGGGUCUAGUGGCGCACGGGUGCGUAACGCGUGGGAAUCUGCCCUUGGGUUCGGAAUAACAGCGAGAAAUUGCUGCUAAUACCGGAUGAUGACGUAAGUCCAAAGAUUUAUCGCCCAAGGAUGAGCCCGCGUAGGAUUAGCUAGUUGGUGAGGUAAAGGCUCACCAAGGCGACGAUCCUUAGCUGGUCUGAGAGGAUGAUCAGCCACACUGGGACUGAGACACGGCCCAGACUCCUACGGGAGGCAGCAGUGGGGAAUAUUGGACAA